Molecule: non-coding RNA, 1872 nt
Organism: Danio rerio (zebrafish)
Lineage: Eukaryota; Metazoa; Chordata; Actinopteri; Cypriniformes; Danionidae
Source: RefSeq, a predicted model, not a curated record
UUUCCUUAAACGUUCAACAGUUCAUUAUACUUUAACCUAAAAAUAAAUGUUGAGUUGGAGAUAAAAUCUCCAAUGUGCCUUACAAAUUUAUGCAAGAAAUGCUCAUGGAUGCAUUUGGGACACAUCAUCAGUAAUGUAUCCUGGGAUCAUUGGGUGUUUCGGGUCUCUCAACAUCACACACUGUCACCCAGCCGGGGUUGAUCAAGUCCUGACUUGUGUCCCAGCAGCAGUCCACGGAUCCACCCACUUAAUCCACAUCCACCUUGUGGCCUUCUCGGCGGCUUCGCUUGCGGAUCGGAUGGCCAUUGCGUUUGUCCCUAAGCAACUGUUUUGUGAAGCCGAAGGGAUUAGUGAUGAAGGCCGCUCACUUCCUGGCUCUCUCUCGCCCCUGUCUCAGAUAUGCCACUCUGCCCUGUGUAGGAUGAUCAGCUUCUUUCUCAAAAUGUUUUUCAACUCCGCUAAUAGUUGCUUCUCCUCAUCAGUAGCUUUCUUAUACAGUUUCUUGAGGAAGAGAAGCUCCUGACGCAGAUGAUGUAUCUGGGUAGCUCUAUGGGUCGUAGUGUAGGAAGUAAUGGUACACAGCAAAUUUCUGGAGUUGAAAAAUUAGGAGUUAGGCAAAAAAGUGUGAAAGAGUUAAUUUUUUUGAGUUUAUUUUUAAACUUUAACACAAUUUUGUGUUAUGGAUUACCCCUUGCUGUAUUGUAUUCUGGAGUUCAUUCUCUGGUGUUCAGAAACGUGCUUUAACUCCUUACUGGAGUUAAAUUUUUUGAUAAAGUCCGCCAUUACACAACUCUGCCGAGCAGCACAUGAGAACUGGAGUUAUGUUCUUCGUUGUGAGGUAGGUAAAAGUGCAUUGUUAUACAAUUCUAAAAGCUUUUUCUAAAUGUAUAUAUAAAAGUGUGUUUUGCUGUAGCUGUUUCAUUUUGUACUGUGAGGCUAGUGACUGCAUGUGGCUAACUUAGCAUAGCAUGUUAGCUUUUCCAAUGUGGCUGUUUUGUGCAGUUUUUUAAAAAAUGUUGUGGAUGUGAACAAGCUAUAGAGCUUUAUGUCUGUAAGAUUUAAUAUGUGUAAUAUUGCUCAUGAAAUGUUUUGGAUUGUAUCAUGAUUUAGUCGUGACCGUGAGAGUAUGCUGUUUUCAGCUAUAUUUACAUUACAUUUUCAAUCACACUAACAUAAGUUGUUAAAUAACAUUUAUCUUUUUUAUUUCAGGCCACGAUGCUGAUAAAAGUGCAAUUUGUAGGCAAGAAAAAAUAUAUUAAACUGGAAGAAGAUUGUUUCUUGGAUUUUUUCAGUGCGGUCCAGCACAAGUUUGUGAUACCAGAGGAUACAGCAUCGAAAGUCACAGAUGACCAUGGCAUAGAGGUGGAUGAGGAUGUAUUUCAAGAACUUGCAACAACCAAAGAAACAUGUCAUCCACACUAAUGAUGAUUUGACUGUCCUGCAGCAAGGGGCUGUUGAAGUGCCCUCCUCCCCAAGUCUGACAGAUACAUUGUCUUUGUCAAGCAGUUUGAGCAGCAGUGAUUCUGGAUCUCAAAUUAUUCAACCUUUAAUGGGCAGUGUCCAAAAAAUAAAAUCGAGCAAAUUCUAACUUCAAAGCCAGCAGAGUUGACUGUGAUUAAGGAGUAUGACAAGAUAUUUUUUUGCUGCUUCUGAUUCCUGUGAAGUUAAUUUUAUAUAAUGUAAUGUGUUGAUUGUCUCAUGCAAUUUUACUAAGCCAUUGGUUUUAGUUGGCACUAGCUGCUAACAUAUAUUAAUUGUAAAUGUUUUGCUGUUAGAUUUAAUGCUUUGAUGACAAUUAAUUUCAAAGUGUGUACAUCGAUGGAAAUUCUAAAUCUAAUGUGUGGAUUUGCAUGAAUAAAAGCAGUAAGUAAA